AGGUAAUCUUCCACAAUGGGCGCAAGCCUGAUGGAGCAACACCGCGUGAGUGAAGAAGGGUUUCGGCUCGUAAAGCUCUGUUGUUGGAGAAGAACGUGCGUGAGAGUAACUGUUCACGCAGUGAAGGUAUCCAACCAGCAAGUCACGGCUACCUACUGUCCGGCAGCCGAGGUAAUACGUAGGUGGCAAGCGUUAUCCGGAUUUAUUGGGCGUAAAGCGAGCGCAGGCGGUUGCUUAGGUCUGAUGUGAAAGCCUUCGGCUUAACCGAAGAAGUGCAUCGGAAACCGGGCGACUUGAGUGCAGAAGAGGACAGUGGAACUCCAUGUGUAGCGGUGGAAUGCGUAGAUAUAUGGAAGAACACCAGUGGCGAAGGCGGCUGUCUGGUCUGCAACUGACGCUGAGGCUCGAAAGCAUGGGUAGCGAACAGG
This 428-nucleotide ribosomal RNA is filed under the name uncultured bacterium. RNAcentral's name for it is "bacterial SSU rRNA". It matches the Rfam family "Bacterial small subunit ribosomal RNA", at positions 356 to 776 of the family's 1533-position model. The record is from RNAcentral.